UGAUUGGAGAGUUUGAUCCUGGCUCAGAACGAACGCUGACGGUGUGCCUCAUACAUGCAAGUCGAGCGGGCUCAGCAAUGGGUCAGCGGCGGACGGGUGAGUAACACGUGAACAAUCUGCCCUCGAAUUUGGGAUAACAGCUCCAACGAGCUGCUAAUACCGGAUAGGUUAAUUUGGCCUCCUGGUCGAAUUAAGAAAGGUCCAAUUGGAUCGUUCGAGGAUGAGUUCGCGGCCCAUUAGCUAGUUGGCGGGGUAAUGGCCCACCAAGGCGACGAUGGGUAGCCGGCCUGAGAGGGUGAUCGGCCACAUUGGGACUGAGAUACGGCCCAGACUCCUACGGGAGGCAGCAGUAGGGAAUUUUGCGCAAUGGACGAAAGUCUGACGCAGCAACACCGUGUGAGGGAUGAAGCAUUUCGGUGUGUAAACCUCUGUCGAUGAUGAAUAAAGCAUGUGGGAGUGGAAAGCCCAUGUGUUGAAGGUAAUCAUGAAGGAAGCACCGGCUAACUCUGUGCCAGCAGCCGCGGUAAUACAGGGGGUGCAAGCGUUGUUCGGAAUCACUGGGCGUAAAGGGAGCGUAGGCGGGACUACAAGACAGAGGUCAAAUCUCCGGGCUCAACCUGGAACUUGCCUUUGUGACUGUAGCCCUUGAGUAUGGUAGAGGUUGGCGGAAUUUCCGGUGUAGCGGUGGAAUGCGUAGAGAUCGGAAAGAACACCAGAGGCGAAGGCGGCCAACUGGACCAAUACUGACGCUGAGGCUCGAAAGCGUGGGGAGCAAACAGGAUUAGAUACCCUGGUAGUCCACGCUGUAAACGAUGAACACUAGAUGUCGGGAGAGGUUUCUUCCGGUGUCGUCGCUAACGCAGUAAGUGUUCCGCCUGGGGAGUACGCUCGCAAGGGUGAAACUCAAAGGAAUUGACGGGGGCCCGCACAAGCGGUGGAGCAUGUGGUUUAAUUCGAUGCAACGCGAAGAACCUUACCUGGGCUUGACAUGGGGGUGACCGCUCGAGAGAUCGAGCUUUCUCUUCGGAGACACCCCGCACAGGUGCUGCAUGGCUGUCGUCAGCUCGUGUUGUGAGAUGUUCGGUUAAGUCCGGCAACGAGCGCAACCCUCGUCCUUAGUUGCUAACAGGUUAAGCUGAGCACUCUAGGGAGACUGCCGCGGACAACGCGGAGGAAGGUGGGGACGACGUCAAGUCCUCAUGGCCCUUACGCCCAGGGCUACACACGUGCUACAAUGGUCGGUACAGCGGGAUGCAAUGUCGCGAGACGGAGCAAAUCCUCAAAGCCGUCCUCAGUUCGGAUUGGAGGCUGCAACUCGCCUCCAUGAAGCUGGAAUCGCUAGUAAUCGUGGAUCAGCAUGCCACGGUGAAUACGUUCCCGGGCCUUGUACACACCGCCCGUCAAGCCACGAAAGAAGAGAGCGCUCCAAGUCGCCAAGCCAACCUUUACUGGAGGCCAGCGCCUAAAGCGAGAUCUUUGAUUGGGGCUAAGUCGUAACAAGGUAGCCGUAUCGGAAGGUGCGGCUGGAUCACCUCCUUU
Molecule: ribosomal RNA, 1539 nt
Filed under: Fibrobacterota bacterium
Lineage: Bacteria; Pseudomonadati; Fibrobacterota
Description: bacterial SSU rRNA
Rfam family: Bacterial small subunit ribosomal RNA
Source: RNAcentral